AUUGCUUCUCAGCCUUUUGGCUAAGAUCAUGUGUAGUACUAUGAUUCUAUGAUUCUUACUUUAUUAAAUCACUCAUUAUUUUAAUGAAUAUGAGCAUGGUUAUAGAAAGGGUCCAGGCAGGGGACUCAGAACAUGUGAGUGCUAUUUGUGGCCAUACCAU
Small nuclear RNA from Chrysolophus pictus (golden pheasant), 160 nucleotides. Its record names the gene U2. It matches the Rfam family "U2 spliceosomal RNA". From Rfam's summary of the family: U2 is a small nuclear RNA (snRNA) component of the spliceosome (involved in pre-mRNA splicing). Complementary binding between U2 snRNA (in an area lying towards the 5' end but 3' to hairpin I) and the branchpoint sequence (BPS) of the intron results the bulging out of an unpaired adenosine, on the BPS, which initiates a nucleophilic attack at the intronic 5' splice site, thus starting the first of two transesterification reactions that mediate splicing. NCBI's taxonomy places the organism in Eukaryota, Metazoa, Chordata, Aves, Galliformes, Phasianidae. The record is from Ensembl.